AUUUUGUAUACUAAACGCGUAAGGUACAAUAUAGGGAGACACAUAAAUUAGUACAGCGACAGAUCGUAACGGUAUGAGGGAAAUGUGUCCAGUAAACCUAAUCUGUCUAGUAUUGGGUGGCACUAUGUGCAGAAUUCUAUGCUUUACCCUAUAUGGGCUGAUGCUUAAUGGUGGUAAAAAAAAUUUAAAUAAAUAAAUGUUGCGCCGCGUUGGCAGGUCCUAAAGAAGCCACUCAGGUUAGAUAUGGAGGUAAUAGCGCAAAUUGGUCGGUAGUAGAGCAGCUCUGGGGAGUGCCUAAAGAUGGCACAUUGUUUGGUCUACCGGCUAUGCUUAAGUGUUACGAAGUGUAUUUUUGGUGCUUUGUGUGGAGUACAUAAGCAGUGUUGAAUGUCUACUGUCAAGUCGAGCAGGUGCGUCCUAGAGUUAUAAGUGUGAGUAGGGUCAUUCAACUUUUAUAGACACCUCUUGGGACCUCAAGGACCUGUGCACAUUCUGCAGUGUGGGAUUAUGACCCUUAAUCAUGGGGGACACAGGGGGGAUAGGAAGGGACUGAAGUCCUGUGAGAGCCUAUUGCCCUCUCGUAGAGAUCCCGCACUUUAGUGUGGGAAAGUAUUAGGGAAUAGUCAGCGUACUCAGUUGACUACUCUAUGUCAUUUGUGAGGGUGUGGAACACAUUGUGUGGACUAAAUGAAAAAUCAUGAUGUAAACAGUUAAACAAUAUGAAAAGAUUUAAACAAGUAGAAUGCUUGUGUCAGGAUCACAGUUCAGGUUGGUGCCCCUCGGUUUUCUACUCCCCUGGGGUAAAAGGGUGUAGUUCUCACUGGGUCCCAGGAAUGCGAAAAAGAGGGAGUUGCCGGUUCCGUUGGUCGUGUGGAGAGCCUCAACACUUGAAGGAAGGGUUCGGCAGCGUGCGGUGAGGAAAGUCUCAGUGUGGCUCUCUCCUUAUUCACUGUGAUCUCGGCAGUGUCCACUGGUAGACAAUGCCAGCUUCGCGCAGGCGGCUUGUCACAGGGCCCGUGGAUCUGCGCCACAAAAGAGUGUUCUGUGUCAGGUCUUAGUAGAAGGUUAAUUCUAAUGACUGAAAGACAAGCAGGUUCUUUCCCUGUACUGCGUGUAGGAUUUUCUUAUGGCAUGAGUGUGGCUGUAAGGUGUUGAAUGUGGUGGGGCAGUUCAGUUGUCUACAGCGUCAGGUACCCCUAGGAUUUUAAUAUUAGUGCGCUUAUUGCGGUCAUUUGAUGUACUGCUUCCUUUAAACCCUUUAUCUCCUGCCUCAGGUCCAGGAUAUCCUUUGUGCGUGAGGUCACCGCUUGUAUUUCCAUCCUAAUCAGCUCCAGGUCCGCAGUGUGCAUCUGCCUCAUUUCUUGCAGGAGGUCAGUAAUAUCCUGCUUAGUGGCUGGAGUCAGAUUAUCUUGACUUGCUGGCUCUGCUUGUGGUGGUCUCACUAUGAAGGACUCCUUUUCACCAGGGGCUCAUCUGGGUUGUGUGAGUCAGAUUUGCGUUCCGACGUGGCCGCCAUCUUGGUUGCUGCCGGGCGGUGUAGUAAGGUACCGAUGUCAGGCUGUGUAUAUUUUAACACUAUUCUGUUGGAUCUCUCCCUCCAUCCAAACUGGGAAGUAGGUAAGUUCUGUAACACUCCUCACAAUGCAGGGGUCAGACUGUCCUACAGAUUCCAGUUCUGUGUGUUAAUGUUUAUAUAUUUUGCUCUGUCAGCUAUAAUGCUUGACUUACUUUGAUUCUGAUUCUUUUGUUUAUGCAGGAGAGGGGAGUACCCCUACAGUUGUGCUCCUCUGCUCUGCUAUAGGACAACUUUGCCAGUUACUAUGAAAAAGCUAGUGAGGGCAUUCACAAGCACCAACAUGUAGUUUUCCCUGUAACAGCCACCUUUCCUUGAUUUUAAAAAUUGGAAAGUAAUUUGAGAGGUGAGAGUAAUAAAAUGUUUAGGGCUAUAUUUCCCCAGCUGGGCUCACACCCUUAAAGGUGGGAUAUGUUGGCCAUUUUGGAAGCCUGGAUUGUCAGGGGAAGAUGUAGUGAUAUGUUAGGAUGAGUGCUUAGUUUGGAGAGAAGCCAGGCCGGUAUGAUAACAUAAAAGUGGGUUACAUUCCAUGUAUGGAGAUAGCAAGGAACAUUGACAAAGUAGCAGUAAUGGAAUGGAAGGAAGAUAGGUUGGGUUAGGUGGGAUUCAAGACAUGCCACUGACACUGACUAGUAAGCCAAUCUAUGGCAUCUCUGAUUUGAGCUGCCACAGUGUAUAUUUGCACAUUAGAAAGAUUAAGGCCUACCUGUGGUUUUAAAUGACACAGUUUGGAGAGACUUAGGUGGGUGUGAGCAGACAGCACAAUAUAUAUGCUAACACUUUCAGGGGACCUGCCUUUCCCUAAUAUAUGGUUCAUAGGAUUGUGGGAACAUUAAAGAAACACUCAAAGCACCAUAAGCACUACAGUCUGCUG
Non-coding RNA from Pelobates cultripes (western spadefoot toad), 2447 nucleotides. The record is from the annotation of a GenBank genome assembly. NCBI's taxonomy places the organism in Eukaryota, Metazoa, Chordata, Amphibia, Anura, Pelobatidae.